GCCNGGGAAUUACGAGNGCAAGNUUAAAAUCCAAAGGAUUUGACGGUGUCCCACCCACCUAGAGGAGCCUGUUCUUUAAUCGAUAAUCCCCGAUUCACCUCACCAUUUCUUGCUACCCAGUCUGUAUACCUCCGUCGUAAGCUUACCAUUUGAAUGCAANAAAGUANGUUGAAUGAUUACCCAUCAACACGUCAGGUCAAGGUGCAACCAAUGAAAUGGAAAGCAAUGGGCUACAGUCUCUAUAAUAGAAUACACGAAACACUACAUGAAAAACAGUCAUGAAGGCGGAUUUAGUAGUAAGAGAAGAAUAGUGUGCUUCUUUUAACAAGGCCCUGGGACGUGUACAAACCGCCCGUCACCCUCUUCAACAGCACAAUUCAAUUCAUAAUCUCAAAAAGCACUUUAGAAGAGGCAAGUCGUAACAUGGUAAGUGUACUGGAAAGUGCACUUGGCAAA
Molecule: ribosomal RNA, 456 nt
Filed under: Guibemantis flavobrunneus
Lineage: Eukaryota; Metazoa; Chordata; Amphibia; Anura; Mantellidae
Description: partial 12S ribosomal RNA
Rfam family: Bacterial small subunit ribosomal RNA
Source: RNAcentral